GUUAUGAGUGAUUCUGUCAUUAAUUCUUAAAGUGGAUUUUUAUUAAACAUGUAAAUUUAAGUGUGAAGUUAAUUUAUUAAAUAUAAAUAGGUUUAUUCUUCAGUUUUUAAUUUUAUUUUUACUCAAUCAAUUGAGUAAUAGUAAUUAAUUUUAAACACUAACUAAUUUUAGUGCCAGCAGUUGCGGUUAUUCUAAUAGUGUAAUUUUAUGUAUCUUGGUUAGGUAUUAAAUUUUUUAUUUUUUGUUUAAAAAUUGAUUUAUUAAGUGGAAUUUUGAAUUAAUAUUAAACAAUGGUUAAUUAAAAUAUUAAAUUAUGAGUAAAAACUAGGAUUAGAUACCCUAUUAUUCAUUUUUAAAUUUUAACUUUAUUAGUAAUAGUUAUUUUCUUGAAAAUAAAAGAAUUUGGCGGUAAUUAAUUUAAUUGUUUAGAGGAACCUGUUCUAUAAUCGAUAAUCCACGAGUUAUUUUACUUUAAUUAUUGGUUUAUAUACCUCUAUCAUUGAAUGUUUUAUUAGAAUAUUUUCUUUAAUUAUUAGUAUACAAAAUGUUAGGUCAAGGUUUAGCUUAUUAAAGUAAGAAAUGGGUUACAUUAAUUAAAGUUAUGGAUUUAACUAGUUGAAUGUUAAUAAAAUUGGAUUUAAUUGUAAUUUAAAUAAAUUAUUUAAUUGAAAUUAUUAUGAUUAUGCACAUAUCGCCCGUCAUUUCCAUAUAGUGGGACAAGUCGUAACAAAGUAGGGUUAUUGGAAAGUGAUCCUGGUUAGAUUU
RNAcentral lists this non-coding RNA (765 nucleotides) under Trachypeplus jacobsoni. Lineage: Eukaryota; Metazoa; Arthropoda; Insecta; Hemiptera; Tingidae. The record is from RNAcentral.